UGGACACAGAUCUCCAUUAUCUAGCUGUGUGUCUUUGAAGAGUAACCAGUCCAUUGGUGUCCGUCCUGAUCUCAGUGAUGGAGCUGUGAACUCUGACUCCGUUAAAUCCAGCAAGAAGAGAAAGAAAGCGGAAUCUUUAUUAUCUAGCUGUGUGUCUUUGAAGAGUGACCAGUCCAUUGGUGUCCGUCCUGAUCUCAGUGAUGGAGCUGUGAACUCUGACUCUGUUAAAUCCAGCAAGAAGAGAAAGAAAGCGGAAUCUUUAUUAUCUAGCUGUGUGUCUUUGAAGAGUGACCAGUCCAUUGGUGUCCGUCCUGAUCUCAGUGAUGGACCUGUGAACUCUGA
This is a non-coding RNA of Danio rerio (zebrafish), 342 nucleotides long. The record is from RefSeq and is a predicted model, not a curated record. NCBI's taxonomy places the organism in Eukaryota, Metazoa, Chordata, Actinopteri, Cypriniformes, Danionidae.